CAAGUGUGUUCACAGAGGGUUGAGGUCGAGCGUGAGCCCUCACUCAGUAAUACCCUUCCGUAGGGGUACUGCGGAGGGAUCAUUACUGAGUGAGGGCUCACGCCCGACCUCCAACCCUCUGUGAACCACACUUGUUGCUUCGGGGGCGACCCCCGCCGGCGAACUCGUCGCCGGGCGCCCCCGGAGGUCUUCUAAACACUGCAUCUUUGCGUCGGAGUUCAAAACAAAUCGAACAAAACUUUCAACAACGGAUCUCUUGGUUCUGGCAUCGAUGAAGAACGCAGCGAAAUGCGAUAAGUAAUGUGAAUUGCAGAAUUCAGUGAAUCAUCGAAUCUUUGAACGCACAUUGCGCCCUUUGGUAUUCCGAAGGGCAUGCCUGUUCGAGCGUCAUUUCACCACUCAAGCCUGGCUUGGUAUUGGGCGUCGCGGUGUUUCGCGCGCCUUAAAGUCUUCCGGCUGAGCUGUCCGUCUCCUAGCGUUGUGGAUUCUUCAAUUCGCUUCGGAGUGCGGGCGGCCGCGGCCGUUAAAUCUUUAUUGAAAGGUUGACCUCGGAUCAGGUAGGGAUACCCGCUGAACUUAAGCAUAUCAAUAAGGCGGAGGAA
RNAcentral lists this ribosomal RNA (602 nucleotides) under Pseudocercospora eumusae. RNAcentral describes it as "eukaryotic LSU rRNA". The stretch from base 237 to 390 matches the Rfam family "5.8S ribosomal RNA". Lineage: Eukaryota; Fungi; Ascomycota; Dothideomycetes; Mycosphaerellales; Mycosphaerellaceae. The record is from RNAcentral.